RNAcentral lists this ribosomal RNA (492 nucleotides) under uncultured bacterium. RNAcentral's name for it is "partial 16S ribosomal RNA". It matches the Rfam family "Bacterial small subunit ribosomal RNA", at positions 29 to 507 of the family's 1533-position model. The record is from RNAcentral.
AGUGAACGCUGGCGGUAGGCCUAACACAUGCAAGUCGAACGGCAGCACAGUAAGAGCUUGCUCUUACGGGUGGCGAGUGGCGGACGGGUGAGGAAUACAUCGGAAUCUACUUUUUCGUGGGGGAUAACGUAGGGAAACUUACGCUAAUACCGCAUACGACCUACGUGUGAAAGCAGGGGAUCUUCGGACCUUGCGCGAUUGAAUGAGCCGAUGUCGGAUUAGCUAGUUGGCGGGGUAAAGGCCCACCAAGGCGACGAUCCGUAGCUGGUCUGAGAGGAUGAUCAGCCACACUGGAACUGAGACACGGUCCAGACUCCUACGGGAGGCAGCAGUGGGGAAUAUUGGACAAAGGGCGCAAGCCUGAUCCAGCCAUACCGCGUGGGUGAAGAAGGCCUUCGGGUUGUAAAGCCCUUUUGUUGGGAAAGAAAAGCAGCAGGUUAAUACCCCGCUGUUCUGACGGUACCCAAAGAAUAAGCACCGGCUAACUUCGUG